Molecule: non-coding RNA, 75 nt
Organism: Podarcis lilfordi (Lilford's wall lizard)
Lineage: Eukaryota; Metazoa; Chordata; Lepidosauria; Squamata; Lacertidae
Source: the annotation of a GenBank genome assembly
GACUGACUAGCUCAGUUGGUUAGACCAUGGUGCCAAUAACACCAAGGUUGCAAGUUUGAGCCCUGUAUGGGAUCG